Molecule: ribosomal RNA, 468 nt
Filed under: uncultured bacterium
Lineage: Bacteria
Description: partial 16S ribosomal RNA
Rfam family: Bacterial small subunit ribosomal RNA
Source: RNAcentral
GACGAACGCUGGCGGCGUGCUUAACACAUGCAAGUCGAACGGAAAGGCCCUGCUUUUGUGGGGUGCUCGAGUGGCGAACGGGUGAGUAACACGUGAGUAACCUGCCCUUGACUUUGGGAUAACUUCAGGAAACUGGGGCUAAUACCGGAUAGGAGCUCCUGCUGCAUGGUGGGGGUUGGAAAGUUUCGGCGGUUGGGGAUGGACUCGCGGCUUAUCAGCUUGUUUGUGGGGUAGUUGCUUACCAAGGCUUUGACGGGUAGCCGGCCUGAGAGGGUGACCGGCCACAUUGGGACUGAGAUACGGCCCAGACUCCUACGGGAGGCAGCAGUGGGGAAUAUUGCACAAUGGGCGGAAGCCUGAUGCAGCAACGCCGCGUGCGGGAUGACGGCCUUCGGGUUGUAAACCGCUUUCGCCGGAGACGAAGAGUGAGUGACGGUAAUGGGUAAAGAAGCACCGGCUAACUACGUG